ACCACAGGGAGGGCGGCGUGUGCUGGGAGCCGGAAGCGCCGGCCGCCAGCUGGCCCUACUGCCUCGCUUCGCAGGAGCGGGCCCGGGGUGACGCAGGCCUGGGGCGCCCCCUGGGGCUGCCCCUGCCCCUGCCCCUGCCCGGGGCCGCCUUUUCCCGGCAGGCCACAUUGGAGAGAGCCCCUCCGGUACAAGGCUCUCGUUGGCACCGGCCUCUGCCCGGGUGUGGGAGAGCAGGCCCGAGGGGAGCCAGGCCUGCAGCCCCUCGAGCGCCCCCCGGGUCCCAGCAUGGCCACGCGGGCCAGGGCUCAGGGAGGCGCUGGGGCUCGGAGGCCUGCCUGCGCCGCGAGGUCGCCGGGUCGAGGGCACCCGAGGGCCAGAGCUGACUCUCCGGCCUUCCCCGCGUCCCGGGGCCUCCCCACCCCCACUCGGCCCUGGAAUCAAUAGUGGCCGCUGAUUUUUCACGACAAUUGCAGCUGUCUAAUUCAUCAGUGAAUAAUUAAAUCAGAGGCAACCAGGCCUGCCUGGCGUCGGAGACCAGGGACUCCCCACCCAGAGCCCAUCAGAUUGGGGGUCUGUGGGGAGCAGGGAGGCCAGGAAGGGACAGGCCUCGCCCUGAGCCAGGGCUGGGAGAGCGGCCAGGCCCGGCGCCAUUCGCGGUGCGUGAACGAAGCCAGAACCCUGUGCGGUGCGAGGAGGCAGGGGAGCAGGGGGGCGCUCCGCAGGGACCCGACUCCCAGCCCAGCACCGUCCUCUACGAGGGCGCAAAUUCCACAUCCCACCCACACACCUAGGCGCCUGGGAGGGCGGUUGUAGGGUUUUGUGCAGACACCCUCCUCACGCAGACUUUGCGAAGGGAGAGGAAAUCCACCCUCGGGAGGCGAUUUGCCUUUGAGGAAGAUGGAGAGGAGCAGAGAGAAGCGCCUAGAAACGGCAUUGAUUUAGACAUCAAUCCUGGCCAGCUCCCUCCGCCUCUGGAGGCGCGGGGCCGCACCGCCCCCUCCCCGGGAAGCGGCUCGGCGAGGACCCCGGGGCCGCCGGGCCUGGGGAGCGGCUCGAAGAUCCUGCGCGGCCAUCCGCUUCCUCGGCCUCGACGCCGCCCCGCCCGCAGGCCCGGGCUCGGGUCCGACCCGCUCCCACGCGCAUUCUCGAGGCCAACAGGUACUCCCCGGCCGCGAGUCCGCAGCGCCGCUCGCACGGCUCUCCCAGCACCCGGUGGGACGCCCCCCCCCGAGCCCCAGAUCUUUGGAGGAAGCCAAACCAAUUGUGCCCAGCCCAGCCCGGCUCUGGUUCUUGGAGGCCGCGGGGGCCGAGUCCUGCUCCUCCGCCGGCAAGGCUACGAAACGGCCGCCUCCGAACCCUGCGGUCCACCAGAGUUGCUUUCCUCUGCACGUUCGCAAACAAAACAAUUCGGAAUUCCUAAAAGUGACAUCGAGCCGGUUUUCAAUAAUAAAAUGCUCCUAAAAUAAUCUC
This 1470-nucleotide long non-coding RNA is filed under the name Marmota monax (woodchuck). Lineage: Eukaryota; Metazoa; Chordata; Mammalia; Rodentia; Sciuridae. The record is from RNAcentral.